ACGGAAGGCAGCAGUGGGGAAUAUUGCACAAUGGGGGAAACCCUGAUGCAGCGACGCCGCGUGAGUGAAGAAGUUAUUCGUAAUGUAAAGCUCUAUCAGCAGGGAAGAAAAUGACGGUACCUGACUAAGAAGCCCCGGCUAACUACGUGCCAGCAGCCGCGGUAAUACGUAGGGGGCAAGCGUUAUCCGGAUUUACUGGGUGUAAAGGGAGCGUAGACGGUCUAGCAAGUCUGAUGUGAAAGGCAGGGGCGCAACUCCUGGACUGCAUUGGAAACUGUUAGUCUUGAGUGUCGGAGAGGUAAGCGGAAUUCCUAGUGUAGCGGUGAAAUGCGUAGAUAUUAGGAGGAACACCAGUGGCGAAGGCGGCUUACUGGACGAUAACUGACGUUGAGGCUCGAAAGCGUGGGGAGCAAACAGGAUUAGAUACCCUGGUA
This 434-nucleotide ribosomal RNA is filed under the name uncultured Lachnospiraceae bacterium. RNAcentral describes it as "bacterial SSU rRNA". It matches the Rfam family "Bacterial small subunit ribosomal RNA", at positions 341 to 792 of the family's 1533-position model. Lineage: Bacteria; Bacillati; Bacillota; Clostridia; Lachnospirales; Lachnospiraceae. The record is from RNAcentral.